Molecule: ribosomal RNA, 253 nt
Filed under: uncultured bacterium
Lineage: Bacteria
Description: partial 16S ribosomal RNA
Rfam family: Bacterial small subunit ribosomal RNA
Source: RNAcentral
UACGGAGGGGGCAAGCGUUAUCCGGAUUCACUGGGGUUAAAGGGUGCGUAGGUGGAAUGGUAAGUCAGUGGUGAAAUCUCCAAGCUUAACUUGGAAACUGCCGUUGAUACUGCUAAACUUGAAUUAUUAGGAAGUAACUAGAAUAUGUAGUGUAGCGGUGAAAUGCUUAGAGAUUACAUGGAAUACCAAUUGCGAAGGCAGGUUACUACUAAUGGAUUGACGCUGAUGGACGAAAGCGUGGGCAGCGAACAGG